UACAUUAUAGCAAGCAAACGAGCCUACCUCUUUCUUUUUCGUUUUCAAGCGACAAAACCUAGUCUAGAAACGCGAUCCAUCAAUUCCAGCGACCCAAAUUGCGAGCUAGCGCCCAGCAGUCUAUGUCACUCGCGCGUGUCUAUCUCCGUAAAAGGAUCGUUGUCGCAUUUUCCAGGUGUUAUCAUCUUGGUGCCCUGCUUGUCCUUAUUCAAGAUCGGACGACUCCCUUCAUUUUCCCGUUGGAAAUUGGUACUCGUUCUUAGCUGAAAACCUUAUCCUUCAUUUCGAAUUUAAAUCUGUUGAAAUUUCAUCCCGAAUUUUUCCACUAUUUUCUGCCAUAAUUUAAUUCUAUAAAUACCUUCAUCUUUCUCUUUGUGAAGGGGGAAAAAAAGAGUGAGAGGGUUACGAAAAUGGGAAAAAGUAGAGAAAAUUAUUAGUCAUAUACAUUUAUAUAUGAAUACUUAAAAAAGAGGUUUAAAAAUAGAUUGAAAAAUCCAGAUUUUACUCCCUCUGUUUACUGGUUUGCUUCUGUUUUCUUUAUCGAACUUCUCGGAGUUUUGUUUCGCUGGUGGAAGCUUGUUGUCUCUUCUCAUUCUGUCUCGGUUAAGUUGCCCGAAAAAAGGUAAUAGUUCCUUCUUCACUUACGUUAAUCGUUAUGUUAUGUGUUGAACUUAUCUCGGUUAGAAAAUCUAAACAUUUAAAUGUGCAUUUACUUUUCCUUGCACAGUGAAGUCAUUUAGCUGAAUUAUGCUUAAUAUGCUAGUGCAGUGGUCUCUCUCUGGUUAUUUUAAUGAAGUUGAAGCAUUAUUCCUUUACAACUGUAACAUAUCAGUGGAUUAGGAUGUUUAAGUGGUCCAUUUUAAUAGGCUUAUGAUGUAUUAAUGUAUAUCUUCUAUGUGUAUAUGAUUAUAUCAUAAGUUAUGACUAUCAUUUUACUUUUCUAUAGUAUGUAGCUUGAAGAACAGACUCAAGCAUGCUUAAAAUCAUUAAUUGUCAUAUUCUUCUAUAAGUUCUUUUUUAUGCUAUGAGUGUAGUCUUCAAAUCAAAGUUUGUAAUGUGGGUUCUUCAUUUUUCUUAUAUGUUCAACUUCCUAGAAUAAUGGAAAUAAAUGUUUUAUAUUUUAAACAAGUUGUUUAGUAGAUUAAAGGGUUGGCUUUGUUAAUGAUAAGUUUUAGUGUUACUUCUUGUUUAUAUUGAGAUCCUUCAUUGCUCUUAAUACUAUUUAGUUAUGCUACUUGAUUGUUUAAACCACAUCUUUGCUAGAUGUUGACGAAAUUGAGCCUAACUAAUUUUUUUAUUUCGUUUUUGUUGCAUGUGAUACCACCCAAUCCUCUUGGACUCCAAUCUUCUUCACUCAUAUUCCGGAGGGGCCAUAAAGGCCCCAAAUCCCCUUUUUCCUUCGAGUCAGCCCCCUCGGCAAGCUGCAAAAAUGAUGUACAUGUUGAGGUCGAGGAAUGUAGGCUGGAAAUUAAUAUUGCAGGUCUCAGAAAAGCCCAAAAGAAGGUGGUGGAAGUCUGAAAUGGGCAGCGUACAUUCAGCAUACAUCCCAAUAUACAAGAAAACGAGUUGAAAUAUGUAUCGUAUACAUCAUAUAUGUUUGGUGAACACACAUAUUUUAAGUGUGGAAAAGAAGGAAUAUAGGCCAAAAACCCAAAAAGGAAAUUUCCAGCAGGUCCAUUAGCAGGAAAUUGUGCCAAAGGCCCAAAAUCGGCAUCUCCCUCCUCCCUAUUUAUUUGUUAUUAUAUUGACUAACAUUACUUGAUUGAUUUUGGUUAAUUUAAUUAUAUUUCCAAGAUAGCUAUUUCUCUUUAUAUUCAAAAACACAAAUAUUAAUUUA
Long non-coding RNA from Solanum pennellii, 1837 nucleotides. RefSeq lists it as uncharacterized. The transcript is spliced from 2 exons. Lineage: Eukaryota; Viridiplantae; Streptophyta; Magnoliopsida; Solanales; Solanaceae. The record is from RefSeq and is a predicted model, not a curated record.